This 253-nucleotide ribosomal RNA is filed under the name uncultured bacterium. RNAcentral describes it as "partial 16S ribosomal RNA". It matches the Rfam family "Bacterial small subunit ribosomal RNA", at positions 524 to 776 of the family's 1533-position model. The record is from RNAcentral.
UACAGAGGUGGCAAGCGUUGUUCGGAAUUACUGGGCGUAAAGGGCGCGUAGGCGGUCUUGUAAGUCUUGUGUGAAAUCCCUCGGCUUAACUGAGGAACUGCACGAGAUACUGCAAGACUUGAGAUCGGGAGAGGGAAGCGGAAUUCCGGGUGUAGCGGUGAAAUGCGUAGAUAUCCAGAGGAACACCGGUGGCGAAGGCGGCUUCCUGGACCGAUACUGACGCUGAGGCGCGAAAGCUAGGGGAGCAAACGGG